GACGAACGCUGGCGGCGUGCCUAAUACAUGCAAGUAGAACGCUGAAGGAGGAGCUUGCUUCUCUGGAUGAGUUGCGAACGGGUGAGUAACGCGUAGGUAACCUGCCUGGUAGCGGGGGAUAACUAUUGGAAACGAUAGCUAAUACCGCAUAAUAGUAGAUGUUGCAUGACAUUUGCUUAAAAGGUGCAAUUGCAUCACUACCAGAUGGACCUGCGUUGUAUUAGCUAGUUGGUGGGGUAACGGCUCACCAAGGCGACGAUACAUAGCCGACCUGAGAGGGUGAUCGGCCACACUGGGACUGAGACACGGCCCAGACUCCUACGGGAGGCAGCAGUAGGGAAUCUUCGGCAAUGGACGGAAGUCUGACCGAGCAACGCCGCGUGAGUGAAGAAGGUUUUCGGAUCGUAAAGCUCUGUUGUAGGAGAAGAACGAGUGUGAGAGUGGAAAGUUCACACUGUGACGGUAUCUUACCAGAAAGGGACGGCUAACUACGU
This 494-nucleotide ribosomal RNA is filed under the name uncultured bacterium. RNAcentral's name for it is "partial 16S ribosomal RNA". It matches the Rfam family "Bacterial small subunit ribosomal RNA", at positions 28 to 506 of the family's 1533-position model. The record is from RNAcentral.